UGGGGAAUAUUGCACAAUGGGGGAAACCCUGAUGCAGCGACGCCGCGUGAGCGAUGAAGGCUUUCGAGUCGUAAAGCUCUGUCCUAUGGGAAGAUAAUGACGGUACCAUAGAAGAAAGCCCCGGCUAAUUACGUGCCAGCAGCCGCGGUAAUACGUAAGGGGCGAGCGUUGUCCGGAAUUAUUGGGCGUAAAGAGUGCGUAGGCGGCAAAUUAAGUCAGAUGUGAAAACUAAGGGCUCAACCCAUAGAUUGCAUCUGAAACUGAUAUGCUUGAGCCAAGGAGAGGAAAGUGGAAUUCCUAGUGUAGCGGUGGAAUGCGUAGAUAUUAGGAGGAAUACCGGUGGCGAAGGCGACUUUCUGGACUUGAACUGACGCUGAGGCACGAAAGCGUGGGGAGCAAACAGG
Molecule: ribosomal RNA, 404 nt
Filed under: Verrucomicrobiota bacterium
Lineage: Bacteria; Pseudomonadati; Verrucomicrobiota
Description: Verrucomicrobia bacterium partial 16S ribosomal RNA
Rfam family: Bacterial small subunit ribosomal RNA
Source: RNAcentral